AUUGAACGCUGGCGGCAUGCCUUACACAUGCAAGUCGAACGGUAACGGGCCUUCGGGUGCCGACGAGUGGCGAACGGGUGAGUAAUGCAUCGGAACGUACCUUUCAGUGGGGGAUAACGUAGCGAAAGUUACGCUAAUACCGCAUAUUCUGUGAGCAGGAAAGCAGGGGAUCGCAAGACCUUGCGCUGAUUGAGCGGCCGAUGUCAGAUUAGCUAGUUGGUGAGGUAAAGGCUCACCAAGGCGACGAUCUGUAGCGGGUCUGAGAGGAUGAUCCGCCACACUGGAACUGAGACACGGUCCAGACUCCUACGGGAGGCAGCAGUGGGGAAUUUUGGACAAUGGGGGCAACCCUGAUCCAGCCAUGCCGCGUGAGUGAAGAAGGCCUUCGGGUUGUAAAGCUCUUUCGGCCGGGAAGAAAUCGUAAUGGGCGUAAUACCCUGUGCGGAUGACGGUACCGGCAUAAGAAGCACCGGCUAACUACGUGCCAGCAGCCGAC
RNAcentral lists this ribosomal RNA (496 nucleotides) under uncultured bacterium. RNAcentral's name for it is "bacterial SSU rRNA". It matches the Rfam family "Bacterial small subunit ribosomal RNA", at positions 30 to 518 of the family's 1533-position model. The record is from RNAcentral.